GGAGUUAGCCGGUGCUUCUUCUGCGAGUAACGUCACAGAUGUAAGGUAUUAACUUACACCCUUUCCUCCUCGCUGAAAGUGCUUUACAACCCGAAGGCCUUCUUCACACACGCGGCAUGGCUGCAUCAGGGUUUCCCCCAUUGUGCAAUAUUCCCCACUGCUGCCUCCCGUAGGAGUCUGGGCCGUGUCUCAGUCCCAGUGUGGCUGAUCAUCCUCUCAGACCAGCUAGGGAUCGUCGCCUAGGUGAGCCUUUACCUCACCUACUAGCUAAUCCCACCUGGGCUUAUCCAUCAGCGCAAGGCCCGAAGGUCCCCUUCUUUCCCCCGUAGGGCGUAUGCGGUAUUAGCAGUCGUUUCCAACUGUUAUCCCCCACAAAUGGGCAAAUUCCCAGGCAUUACUCACCCGUCCGCCGCUCGUCAUCUUCAAAAGCAAGCUUUUGAAAUGUUACCGCUCGACUUGCAUGUGUUAGGCCUGCCGCCAGCGUUCAAUCUGAGCCAUAAUCAAACUCUGA
This 511-nucleotide ribosomal RNA is filed under the name uncultured bacterium. RNAcentral describes it as "partial 16S ribosomal RNA". The record is from RNAcentral.